AAUCCAUAGGUUAAUGAGGCGAACCGGGGGAACUGAAACAUCUAAGUACCCCGAGGAAAAGAAAUCAACCGAGAUUCCCCCAGUAGCGGCGAGCGAACGGGGAGGAGCCCAGAGCCUGAAUCAGCAUGUGUGUUAGUGGAAGCGUCUGGAAAGGCGCGCGAUACAGGGUGACAGCCCCGUACACAAAAGCGCAUGUGCUGUGAGCUCGAUGAGUAGGGCGGGACACGUGGUAUCCUGUCUGAAUAUGGGGGGACCAUCCUCCAAGGCUAAAUACUCCUGACUGACCGAUAGUGAACCAGUACCGUGAGGGAAAGGCGAAAAGAACCCCGGCGAGGGGAGUGAAAAAGAACCUGAAACCGUGUACGUACAAGCAGUGGGAGCACCCUUUGGGUGUGACUGCGUACCUUUUGUAUAAUGGGUCAGCGACUUAUAUUCUGUAGCAAGGUUAACCGAAUAGGGGAGCCGGAGGGAAACCGAGUCUUAACCGGGCGUUAAGUUGCAGGGUAUAGACCCGAAACCCGGUGAUCUAGCCAUGGGCAGGUUGAAGGUUGGGUAACACUAACUGGAGGACCGAACCGACUAAUGUUGAAAAAUUAGCGGAUGACCUGUGGCUGGGGGUGAAAGGCCAAUCAAACCGGGAGAUAGCUGGUUCUCCCCGAAAGCUAUUUAGGUAGCGCCUCGUGAAUUCAUCUCCGGGGGUAGAGCACUGUUUCGGCUAGGGGGCCAUCCCGGCUUACCAACCCGAUGCAAACUGCGAAUACCGGAGAAUGUUAUCACGGGAGA
RNAcentral lists this ribosomal RNA (783 nucleotides) under Salmonella enterica. RNAcentral's name for it is "partial 23S ribosomal RNA". It matches the Rfam family "Bacterial large subunit ribosomal RNA", at positions 161 to 984 of the family's 2925-position model. Lineage: Bacteria; Pseudomonadati; Pseudomonadota; Gammaproteobacteria; Enterobacterales; Enterobacteriaceae. The record is from RNAcentral.